RNAcentral lists this long non-coding RNA (1781 nucleotides) under Homo sapiens (human). Its description in RNAcentral is "HSALNT0388929". The record is from RNAcentral. Lineage: Eukaryota; Metazoa; Chordata; Mammalia; Primates; Hominidae.
AGCUGCCCACAGUCAUCCUUCUCCAUCCCACUGACCUUCCACCCGUGACCAAUCAGGAGAUGUUUCCAGUUUAUUGGUGAAUUUAUUAGGGCUCAGAGAGGAUGACCUAUCCAAGGUCCCACUGCCAACUGAAUGUAGGACAAGUCUCUGAACCCAGUGUGCCCCUGCCAGAAAGUAGCAGGGAUCACAGAAGUCCAGCAGAGGUCUGCCGCCUUGGACCCCGCCUCUUACACAUUGAGUGUGGUUUCUGCAGUGAUGAUAGAUCCUCCGAAUGAGGAACAAUGUAUUCUUCUUUUCUCCUAAUUCUCCUAAAAAAUCCACUUGGGAGAUACCUGCUGCAAAACUUAAAGGCAACCAUAUUCUGUACUUAGAUGAAGUGUUUGUCAAGCUCCCUGGAAAAGAGAAUCAAAGGACCCUGACUUGUUUACUCUGCCUUCUGGAAGAAAAAAGUGAUGAGAGAGAGUGGCAAUCUCACACCAUGCUGAAAAGCGCCCCCCAACUAACUCAGAUCCAUGCGUCCCUUUGGGCCCUGAGGAAUAAUACUGCUGGUUUAAUUCAAGAUAUAAAACCAAUAAAAAUGGUUUACCUAAAGGAUAUGCCACAAUGGCCGUAUGUGAAACAAUAUCCUUUGUCCUGAGCUCGGUUUGAGAGAAUCAAACCCAUUAUAAAAGAAUUAGAAAAACAAGGGAUACUUCUAUAAAAGGUAGCCUCACCUUGUCAUACUCCCAUACUUCCAGUAAGCAAGGAAAGUAAAUUUGGUAAAGAUGGUUGACCAUUGUGUAGAUUUGUACAAGAUCUUUGAGAAGUAAAUGAAUUUGUAGUUCCUAAUCCUGCAACUAUUUUGACUUUGUUUCUGUUGUCUGUAAUGUGUUCUGCUUUUUCUUCCUGUUCCUGUCCAAACCCUUGUUUGCUUUUACCUACAAAGGAGUUCAAUACUUAACUUAGUAAAGAAUUUCUCAAGGAUUUCAGGACUCUCCUACUCUUUUCUCUAGCAAUUUACAGGAAAUAUUAGGGAAAUUUGUCCCACCAGAGAAAUUUAUAAUUAUCCUGUCAACGAAAAGAGUCAAACUCUGUAAAAUAUUUGAAGAGAUUUAUUCUGAGCCAAACAUGAGGACCAAUGACAUGUGACAUAGCCCUAGGAGAUCCUAAGAACAUGCACCCAAGGUGAUUGGGCCAUAACUUGGUUUCAUACAUUCUAGGGAGACAAGACAACAAUCAAUACAUGUAAGAUGGCUGGGCAUGGUGGCUCACACCUGUAAUCCCAGCAUUUUGGGAGGCCGAGGCGGGUGGAUCAAAAGGUCAGGAGUUCAAGACCAGCUUGAACAACAUGGUGAAACCUCAUCUCUACUAAAAAUACAAAAAUUAUCCAGGUGUGGUGGCGUGCACCUGUAAUCCCAGCUAUUAAGGAGGCUGAGGCAGGAGAAUUGCUUGAACCCAGGAAGCAGAGGUUAUGGUAAGCCGAGAUCACGCCACUGCACUCCAGCCUGGGUGACAGAGCAAGACUCUGUCUCAAAAUAAUAAUAAUACAUGUAAGAUAUACAUUGGUUUGGUGCCGAAAGGUGAGACAACUCAAAGAGGGGGCUUCCAGGUCAUAGGUGAAUUCAGAGAUUUUCUAAUUGGCAACUGGUUGAAAGAGUUAUUAUCUAAAGACCUGGAAUCCAUAGAAGAGAAUAUCUGGGUUAAGAUAAGGGGUUUGGGAAAUCAAGGUUCUUAUUAUGCAGAUGAUGCCUUCAGGUAGCAGACUUCAGAGAGAAUAGAUUGUACAUGUUUUUUUAUCAGAC